UCAACCUAAUUUAAUUAAAGAAGAUCAGAUUUCACCCGCUUAGAUAGUUGCUAUUCGAAUCAAGGCCCAGAGUGGCCCAGAGAGAUGAAGAAUGCUGGGAAUGUCCUUUCCUCUUGCCCAAACUAUUUUAAGAGAAAUUUAUGUUUUUCUCCUCCAAGAAGCAAAAAUUUCAAGGUUCAUGUCGGCGACUUCCAUCCACUGACUUAUAAACUGAGCCAGAGUUUAUGUGGCUAAAUUACAGGGCAAAACCUCCCUCAUUCAUUACUCUGGCCUCACUUCUGUCCACUGAGAGUUGAACCGUCCUUCUGAGAAUGGGGGUUGAUCACCUUGGAGAGAAACAAUUUCUGUCCAGGAUAGCAAGGUAUCAUUUCCAAUUGAGCAUGCAAUAUAAGCAGCUAAGAAAUACAGGCUGACCUUGUAUUUAUAAAUUAAAAAUGCAGUGCUUAGUUUAAGUAACAACCUAUUAAGAAUGGGUAUAUCGUACAUCAUUGAAUUGCUUAUGGACAUCUUGGCUGGAGAAAAUUGUUCCAAGUGGCAGUUUGCUAGCCCGGAUUACCCAUCUGCUGGUCCCUCAAAAUCCAGGCUACAUUCCUACAGAUGGCUUCUCCCCCAGACCCCCCUGGUCAGCGAUGGUGUCCUCCUUGGAGCCAACCACUCUCACAGGUAGUUAAAAGCACUCAGAACUGUCACUGCAAGUUCCUCAAAAAAAAUUUCACUGGGUCCCAGCAAAAUGAUAACAAUAAAGACAAUAUAGUGGAUUUUUCCUAAAGCUAAAUGUGCUGAUUCAAAGGCUUCCCUUUUGAUGUUUUUUUUUUUAAUGAAUUCAUGGUAAUAGCAUGAUUGAUUUUUUUAAAUGACCUUAUUCCACAAGUAAAAAGUUGGCAGUCCUAUGUGGGUCCUUAAAUUUUCUUUUAGAGAACAUAACUGGAUUAUGAAACCAGUUGUCUCUUGGCAAUUAAAAAUAUACCACCUGGACAUUCAUCCAUAUGUUGGAGCAACCAGAAAUGCUUUUCUGUUGUUUUAAGAAACCCCUGCUUUGGCCCUGAACCCCUCCCUGGACCCACUCUGUCAAGUGAGCAGGAAAGUUCCUCCAAUAUCAUAAAGGUUCUCUUUCCUUCACCAGUUUGGUGGGUUAUCAAAUGCUGUGACUUUGUGCUUAACUGGAUAAAUGGACUAACUUUAGUUCAGGUACUUGCUGGGGAGUCUAAUUUUGAGCUCACUGCUGUUUUGAUCAUUGCUGUUAUCAAAAGCUUGGUUCAGUUCUUUCAUUCAUUGCUUCAUUUGACUAAUAUUUACCAAUCACCUUCAACAUACCAGGCACUACCCUGAGUGUUGGAACUUCAAAAUGAUUGCCUUUUUAAAGUUCAUGGUCUAGACAGGAAAACAGACUCAUCCCAUAAGAUUAUAUUACAAUGUGAGAAAUGCAGGGUGAUGAUGGAGUUAUGAACAGAGAAUCAUGGCAACUCCAAGGAAGCACCUAAAAGAUUGUCAGGGGACCGUAAAAGGCGGCUUCCCAGAGAUGGUGAAGCCCAACCGAGAUCUCGGCUUGUUUCAGUUCUCAAACACGCUCUGCCCAUUUCACUACAAGGCCCUUGCUCAGGGCAUUUCCCUGCCUCAGAAGCUCUUCCCUUCCACUCCUCUACCUCCGCCUCUCCCCAUUUAAAACACCUCUUCACCAGAGAAGGAUUGCUUGACCUCCAAGACUAGGAAGUUUCCCUCUGCCUUAUGUGCUAAUGGCACCCGUUCUUUUCCUUCAUAGCAUUAAUCAAAGUUACCACCAGACAACUAGUGAGUCACUUUUACUAUCUGUCUUCUCCUACAGAAUAAACACCCCAUGAGGGCAAGGACAUAUUUGAGGCCAUGAUUUUCUGUUCGUCACCACAUCACCGGUUUCUAGUACCAUUCCUUGCAUGUAGUAGGUGCUUAACUAAUAUUUAUAAAAUAAAUUAAUAACUUUAAGAUAGGAGUUAGUCAGGGAAAGAUGAAGGGUGGGGAAGAGGGUGGAAAGGGUAAGACUAAGAUAAGGAUGCUGGGCAGAAAGAACACCAUAAGCCAAGUCCUGAGGCAGCAAAUCCCCUGAAUUAUGCCUGCACAACCAAGGCAGGGUUUGGCGUGACUAGACUGUAAAGAUCAAGGUCAGAGCAGGGAGGGCCUUGCAGGCCAUGCUAGGAAGGAACAGUCACAAUCUCAUAUUGCCCUGUGCAUACACCUGUCACUCUGAGCUCCUACAUUCAUUCAACAAAUAUUUAAUGAGUAGCUACUAUGUGCCAGAUACUAUGCCAGGCCCUGGAGAUUCAAUGAGUUUUUCUUAUUUGGAGCUUAAAUUUUAAUGAAAGUUCCUUUCCUGAGGGUGAGGCCUGUGUUUUGUUUGUUUUAGGACCUGCACAGUGCCUAGCACAGUGUCUGACAGGUAACAGGCACCCAAACUUUGAAUGAAGGAAAGAAGGAAUGAAAGAAUGGAGGUAGUGAAAUGGCAGAACAAUCCCUGAUGCUAACAGAAUCAAAGGCAGGGGGUCAGUCAGGAGCCGGCUAGUCUGGCCUUGCACUAGCCAGGCCCUGCCCUGUUCCCCACUCCCUGCACUCUGGGGGUCCCGUGCCCACCUGCCUGCUUCUCAUUAUCCCCUUGGUUCCUGCAUGAGGCCCCAUCAGAGACCAAAGCAGAGGCAGUGUCAGUUCAUUUGCUGCAAGGGGAAAGCAGAGGAGGAUGUGCCCUUCACUCCAACUGUCCAGGCUACACAGAGGGAAAAUGACCCCUGCUGUCUAAGUUGGAUCCUUGACUGCAUUUUCCCCAAAGACAUAUUCCUAGACAUAGCAGUUAGGUUCGCUAGUACUACCACCACUGUAUUUCAGACAGAUUUUUGGCCACACAAAAUUCUGAGGGUUGGCUUGGGGACCUAAACACCUUCUGUAACAAUCUUUUUCUAAGGAAAUGCUCUUGUGAUUUCUAAUGCCGUGUUGUAGACUUUCCAAAGCUAAAUAUAAACUGCUUGUAUUGCAUGCUCCCUAUGGCCUGUACUCUUGGCCCAGGAAAAACACUUGAGGCAAGGACUGUGCCCCCUUGGAAUCCUCUACAAAGAACUGUACAAAGGCCACGACUCAACACCAUGCCUUGCUCAUCCAUGUGUGCUGAGUAAGAGGGUAGGAAGUGAACUUGGGUGUCUAAUCUGAUCUUGCCCACAGCAAUUUUGGAAAGUUUUGACCAUGAAUGCAAAGGGCCAUCGCUGUCAUGCUGCCUCACACCCAAGGUUUCUGUAUCUUAACUCAAGCCUUUCACCGCAGAGAAGACAUUGUAGACCGUGAACUCCAGUCCGUUCAGGGAGGGAUAUCUCAUUACCCAUGGCCCGCAGCCCGGACUAUCAGUCUCCCAUCAGGAGCAGCUUGAAUGGCAUUGGCUCACCCUGAACUUCUGCAUUUGGCUCGUGGCCCUGAGGGGAGACUUUGCAUGUUUGACUUUCUUGAGCUCUUCACACAUUUGUCUUUAACAAGUUUACUGCUGGUGCACUUGGGAGAAAUUACCUUUGAGCAUUUCACCUUAACUGAUCUUUUUUCCCCUGCCUUUUCUUUUUAGCCGUUUGCUGCCUUAUUUUCAGCCUUCACCACAGAAUUUGGUGCAUUCAACGUUCAACUUCCUUUUUUUUGCAUUGACAUUGCUGUUCUUCACGCCCCUUUGGUUUGCAGCAUACCCUUUUCACCCUAAUUUUUGCUUGUAAAAGCUGCAUUUCCUCUCCAGUCUAUCAUCACCUCUGUAAACACCAAGUCUGGAUGUGUGUCCAGAUGAGCCCCAGAGAUCUCCUCCAGGCCUCUCCACGCAGAGUGCUUGUGUGCUUAAUAUCUGCAAAGCCACGUUCGCUGCCUUGAGCGAGGAGACGCAGGGUCAGGCACGGCAGCAACGGAUGUUCAUCCUCCCAACACGGUAUCAGGCAACAUGUUUGGCCACUACAGUUGUCUCACAGCAGCUAAUUCAGAAGCCAGCUCUGGCUGCCGUGCGUCCGUGAUGGGAAAUGCCUCCAGUCCUACGCUUGCAAUCAGGUCAACCAAAGGUUCACUUCCCAGCACAUUUGGAAGAAUGGCCUUCUUUUAAAAGUUGGAAAAACUGAGUCAGAGAGAGGUGAAGAUGAAGUUCACACAUCUGUCAGCACCAUCAUCAACAUUACCAUCAUGUCUCUUGUCUGUAAUAAAUGGUGAAUAGGAUAGACAAGAUUUCUAGAAACAUGUAUUUCAUAAAUGUGGACAAAUUAUUAAGGACAAAUAUAUUAAUGUGAAAUAACUUAAUAGAUGAAUUACAUGUAAUUUGCAUUUUUCGCAAGUAAAUAAUAGUAAUAUCUAUUUGCUUAGCCUUAUACAGCUAAAAAAUGUUUCCCGUAUAUGAGCUUAGAAAAAGUUCUUAACGUGAGUAAAUAUGGGCAUUCCCUGUUCAGAGAAGAGUAGAGUCAUAGAGCGUGUCUGGGCCAAAGUUCCUGGGCGAGUGGGUGCCAGAAUCAGGACUAAAACUCUGCCUUCUAACCAGAGACCACCUCCUCUUUAUUUCCUCCUGCUUCUGUGAGCAGGAAGGCGAUACAGGAACUUCAUGUCGAGAGCCUGGAUUAAGUGACAUUUCACUUCAUGGAGAAGUCUUCCUAGAGGGAUUUGAGAAGUUCUAGGGAACCUUGUUAUUUUGAGACAAUAUGUUUUCUUCAAACCAAGGAACACCAUUUGAGGACGUUUAGUAAAAGAAGUUCUGGGGAAAGCCCAGUGGUGGCAGGAGUGGUGGUGGAGGACUUUCCCCACUUGUCAUCUUCCAUUUACAUUUAGAUAAGGCCUGGUGGAGAAUUGUAUAGCCAGUUGCAAGGAUAAGUUUAAGUUGGUGUGAUCUGAAACACAGCCAGUUCAUUUCUUUCUAAAAGGCAGAGGCACGGUAUCUAAGACUUGUAUCUUGAAAUGUAUGUGAGAACCUUCUAGCCCUGAGAGUUCCCAUCAGGUUAGGAGGUCACAGCUCUUCGAACACGAACCGCAGCUUCGCGAUCAGUAUAAAAGUCUACAAUUACAACCAUUCUUUGGAAUCCUCUCAGCCAACGAGGACAUUCCUUGGCUGGUUUAGAAAAACCAGUGCAGAUCUGCACUGGGAAAGGAAUGCAGUCUGGAAGAAUGGCCAAUGAUUUACAGAUUAAGUCUCCUAUUAACUAAGAAAGAAUAAGGAAAGGAGGUUUAAAAACUGUUCUGCCACCCCGCCUCGAAAAUGUUUACAGGAGAAGCAGUGUGAGUGACAAGGUGGGGAGGUGGCAGAAGCACUGAAUGGGACACAGAACUGAAUGGUGGAACCAGGAGUGACCUGGCAUCGUCAUCGGGAUCCCUUAGGUCUUCAUAGCAGCUGUGACUUUCGGAGAUGAUUCAGUACUUAGUAUCUCGAUGGGUUAAAGAUUAUUAAAGACUCUGUGGGUCCAGGCAGAGAGGCACCGUUUCCAACUUAUAGAUAAGGACACUGAGUUUCGGCGAGGUUAGGCGUUUUAUCCAGGCAAGUCCGAAGUGGAGCCUCCUGGUUUCGGGGCCUGACUUCUGAUUGCCACUAGGCGCCUGCCUCCCCGCAGGAGGAGGAAGUCUUGACCCGUAACCUGGGGAAAUGGGAUUGCCCGAGUGAGGCGUGAGGAGGUGGAGUUUCUCUAACUGCUCCUCAGAGAAGGAUGCUGAGUGGGGAAGACAGUGGCUGGCAGGCCUGGUGCCAGGGACUCCGGGAGGAAGGGGCUGGAGAGGUCCAGGAGAAACAUGGGCAGGAACUGGACUGAGACAGCGUUUGAAAGAUGAACAAGGAGAUGGAAGUUUGGAGAUGGAAAGGAAAAGGCAAGCUCCAGCAGUUGACAAUGGAAAGGCAACGGCCUGUGGGAAAUAACUCAGAGAUUUCCUGCUUGUGAAGCCAGUGCUGUGCUGCCAUGGCCACUGCUCCUGGCAGGUGACAGGGAGAGAUGCCUUGUGCCAGGCGUGUCGGGGGCCAGGAGGGCCCAGAACUCCUGACUCGGGUGUCAGAGGAGGUGUCCGAGGCCCGCCCCGCGCUCACCUCCUGGAUGUUCUGCUUCGCCCGGCUGUCAGAGGGAUGCAUAAUCGUCCCCAUCACUUUCAUGUUGCCACAGACAACCAGGGCUUCGUCCGGUGCAUCUGUGUUUAUGCCCACUCGACCAUGACAAACAACAGAUUCUGGAACUUGUCCUCGCUGCCAUAAUGCAUCAAUGUCAUUUUCAAAUUGCCCAGGGUUGGAGGCCUGGAGAAAAUACAUAAAUAUAUUACAAUUAAAGUUAUAGAUGCAGGAAUAGAUGAUCGCUUUAUUCCCCAAAGGAAAACAGAAUGUUAGCCAAGUCUUUCACUUGAGAAUCACAUGUUGGAUGGGACACUCUGACAUAUCUGAAUAACUGUGACCCCAGGAGAGCCAGGGAGACUCUCCUAACUGUUCUGCCCCCACCAGCAGAAGCUCAGCGUGUCUUGGUUUGCAAUGUCCAGUCUCUAUAUGGAAUUGAGAAUGUGUCAGUUAUAGUAGGUGGAUGAUAAGGAGAAGAAGAACACUCAAAAUGAGUAUUUUUUCAGGGAGAAUAAUAAUAAUGAUUUAAAACCAGAAUAUUACAUCAGAAAAUCUCACAAGUUUAUUAAAGCUCAGAUAAUUUCAAAAAAAACCCUUGCAUUUAGCUAGCCCUUCCAUAGUUUCAAAACACCUUCAUGUUUAUGAUUUCAUACACAAUUGACAAGCAAAUGACAAUACAAAUAUAUUUAGUACACCUCAGCUAUUCCCUAAACACAGAUGAUUCUGACAGAAGAACUGUAACAGCUGCAUUUGCUGUGUGCUAAUCCACACCCCAAUUCCAUGCGAAAGGACCAUUAUCUUCCUUUUACUGACGCUGAGACUCUGAAAGAAUAAACAGAUUGCCCCAGGCCACAAAGCUAAUGAGUUCUAGAGCUGCGAUUAUGCUUCCUUUGAUGAUUAAAUAAUGAUUCUAACUUUGAGUUUUGUGGUAUUGCCUAAAAAAGCCCUGGCCAAAUGCAGUCUUCAAAGAAAAUCCAAGUGAAUCUAUUCGACUAGAGAAAGUUCUGGAGAUUUUACUGUUAAAUAAAUUUUUUUUGCCAAAGAA
Long non-coding RNA from Orcinus orca (killer whale), 7088 nucleotides. RefSeq lists it as uncharacterized. The transcript is spliced from 3 exons. The record is from RefSeq and is a predicted model, not a curated record. NCBI's taxonomy places the organism in Eukaryota, Metazoa, Chordata, Mammalia, Artiodactyla, Delphinidae.